AAAGCUGUAAGGGCAGAAGUGUCAUUUAAACAAAAAUAACUGAUUUGGGAUCUCCUGUAUGGGACAAAAGUGCUUACGAGUUACCAGUGUUUAUCCACACCGGAAUCAAUGGUUAGAGCUGAUCCAUUUUUGCCUUCAGUGUUUCUUUCACAAUACACACAGCAUGUACAUUUUUUGAUGCAAUACUUUGGAAGAAAGGAGUUGUACAGCUUCAUCGGUGCUGCAUGGUUUCCUUUUUUUGCUGUGUGCUUCCCUCCAGCCUGGCUGUCUGUGUCCACCUGUCGCCCCUGCUCUUAUGUUUCCAUUUGUCUACCCUGCAAAGUUUGGAUUUGUUUCACAUUUAUGGCAUGCAGUGGAGCAAUGGGAAGAGGAAAUAAUCCUUCAGCCCACCUUCC
RNAcentral lists this long non-coding RNA (395 nucleotides) under Gallus gallus (chicken). RNAcentral's name for it is "long non-coding RNA NONGGAT007843". The record is from RNAcentral. Lineage: Eukaryota; Metazoa; Chordata; Aves; Galliformes; Phasianidae.